UGAGCUGGAUAAUUACACAACUAUGAGGGAUUACAGUAUAAUUAAGGAGAAUGAUGUGCCCGAGAGGAUGCAGAUAUUUGAAGAAAUUUCUGGACCAGCUCCAGUUGAUGAAAUGAGUAGAGAUGAGGAGAGUUCUUGGAUACUUAAUCAACUUGCUGCAAAUAUAAAUAUUCUGUUGUGCAAGAAGAAAGCUCAGGAAGAAAGUGUGAUGAACAUAGAUCUACUUAAGAAGAUUAACAAGGAAGAUAUCAUGAGGUUUCUGGAAUUGCGUCAUCUGGAGAAGUAUGACAUUCCAUUUAUUGCUAUGUAUCGAAAGGAAAAGUGCCUUAGUCUGUUGCAAGAUCUCGAGGAAGAUGACAUAGAAAACAAAUAUGAUAAUGAUGGAAUAGAAGGUACCAGACUGAAGUGGCAUAAGAUUCUCUGGGCUGUGAAUGAACUGGACAAGAAGUGGUUGCUUCUUCAGAAGCGAAAGAAUGCGCUUGAGACGUGUUACAACAAACGUUAUGAAGAGGAAAGUUG
RNAcentral lists this unclassified non-coding RNA (519 nucleotides) under Hevea brasiliensis (rubber tree). The record is from RNAcentral. Lineage: Eukaryota; Viridiplantae; Streptophyta; Magnoliopsida; Malpighiales; Euphorbiaceae.